AACGAACGCUGGCGGCAUGCCUAACACAUGCAAGUCAAACGAGAUCUUCGGGUCUAGUGGCGCACGGGUGCGUAACGCGUGGGAAUCUGCCCUUUGGUUCGGAAUAACAGUUGGAAACGACUGCUAAUACCGGAUGAUGACGAAAGUCCAAAGAUUUAUCGCCAGAGGAUGAGCCCGCGUAGGAUUAGCUAGUUGGUGUGGUAAAGGCGCACCCAGGCGACGAUCCUUAGCUGGUCUGAGAGGAUGAUCAGCCACACUGGGACUGAGACACGGCCCAGACUCCUACGUGAAGCAGCAGUGGGGAAUAUUGGAGAAUGGGCGAAAGCCUGAUCCAGCAAUGCCACGUGAGUAAUGAAGGACUUAGGGUUGUAAAGCUCUUUUACCCGGGAUGAUAAUGACAGUACCGGGAGAAUAAGCUCCGGCUAACUCCGUGCCAGCCGCCGCAGUAA
Molecule: ribosomal RNA, 449 nt
Filed under: uncultured bacterium
Lineage: Bacteria
Description: partial 16S ribosomal RNA
Rfam family: Bacterial small subunit ribosomal RNA
Source: RNAcentral